CAAUAGCGUAUAUUUAAGUUGCUGCAGUUAAAAAGCUCGCAGUUGGAUUUCGGGUGGGAAUGGCCGGUCCGCCGUUUCGGUGUGCACUUGCUACGCCCACCUUGCUGCCGGGGACGUGCUCUUGAGUUCACGCUCGGGACACGGAGUCGGCGAGGUUACUUUGAGUAAAUUAGAGUGUUCAAAGCAGGCCUACGCUCUGAAUACAUUAGCAUGGAAUAACACGAUAGGACUCUGGCCUAUCUUGUUGGUCUGUAGGACCGGAGUAAUGAUUAAGAGGGACAGUCGGGGGCAUUUGUAUUUAACUGUCAGAGGUGAAAUUCUUGGAUCUGUUAAAGACAAACUACUGCGAAAGCAUUUGCCGAGGAUGUUUUCAUUGA
This 377-nucleotide ribosomal RNA is filed under the name uncultured eukaryote. RNAcentral describes it as "partial 18S ribosomal RNA". It matches the Rfam family "Eukaryotic small subunit ribosomal RNA", at positions 592 to 976 of the family's 1831-position model. The record is from RNAcentral.